Danaus plexippus (monarch butterfly) is the source of this 922-nucleotide long non-coding RNA. RefSeq lists it as uncharacterized. The transcript has 2 exons. The record is from RefSeq and is a predicted model, not a curated record. NCBI's taxonomy places the organism in Eukaryota, Metazoa, Arthropoda, Insecta, Lepidoptera, Nymphalidae.
UAAGCAGCUUACACGUAUCGUGGCUAGCUGUGACUCAUGACGCCAUUAAAAUUACAAUCAUGCGAGACGUGGAAAAGUAGAUAUAAUUUUUAUCGUCCGUCACUUCAAACGAUAAAUACCGAUCGUAAAACAGAAACUGCUUUCGGUACAUAAAUACUCACUUGAAAAUUAUUGGAACUAACUGCGCAUUGGCUGUGUCAGACCAGCGUAUCUUCAAGUUGGCACAAACCACCCAAUAAUCAAUAUCGAAUGCUCACCGACAGAAGCCCUGAGGCAGUUCCCCGCUGCCGUACAUCGGCCAAAGGAACGGCGUGUUCCCAUAGCGGCCGAGACUCAUCAGGAACUUCUUGCAUUCCCUAACACCCUCCAGACACGGCAUAGCGUCAGAACCGCCGGCGAUAGCGUACAACACGUAGUGGAUCAGAUUCGGUGUCAGACCCUUGUGAGUCAGGUAGUCCUUGAAGGAUUUGUCGGUCCAAUCUGAUAGACAAUACGUAUGCAAUUAAAACGUCAAUGCAAAAUUGUCGUUCACGAGAUCCACAGAAAAUCGGCUUAUUUCAUUUUAGGUCUAAGAUGACUUUAAAUUGUAGAAAAUAAACUAUGUCCCAGGAAGAAACUGGGAAAAGAUUCAGUAUCGGAACCGGUUGGUUAAUUCAUAAACCGUUCUGAAUCAGUACCCAAUGAGCUAAUAGUACGUACCCUUAAAUUCAUUGUCCAUCUCUUCUUCAUUGUACCCUACGAUGGAAGUGAGCAUUUUCAUGAGCAUCCUCUUCUCCACGAUGCUGACAGCCUCCGUAGCGAACACGUCAGCCCGGGAACAGGGGACAGGAUUCAACUUGUCAUUGAGCCAAGUGAGAACACGUGUCACGCAACGGAACUCAGCAUAACGAGCAAUAUUCGAAGAUAUUAGGAGCUCCACUAA